UACGGAGGGGGCUAGCGUUGUUCGGAAUUACUGGGCGUAAAGCGUGCGCAGGCGGUCUUUUAAGUCAGAUGUGAAAUCCCCGGGCUUAACCUGGGAACUGCGUUUGAAACUGGAAGGCUAGAGUGUGGCAGAGGGGGGUGGAAUUCCACGUGUAGCAGUGAAAUGCGUAGAUAUGUGGAGGAACACCGAUGGCGAAGGCAGCCCCCUGGGCUAACACUGACGCUCAUGCACGAAAGCGUGGGGAGCAAACAGG
This 253-nucleotide ribosomal RNA is filed under the name uncultured bacterium. RNAcentral's name for it is "partial 16S ribosomal RNA". It matches the Rfam family "Bacterial small subunit ribosomal RNA", at positions 524 to 776 of the family's 1533-position model. The record is from RNAcentral.